UGGGGAAUAUUGGACAAUGGGCGAAAGCCUGAUCCAGCCAUGCCGCGUGUGUGAAGAAGGUCUUCGGAUUGUAAAGCACUUUAAGUUGGGAGGAAGGGCAUUAACCUAAUACGUUAGUGUUUUGACGUUACCGACAGAAUAAGCACCGGCUAACUCUGUGCCAGCAGCCGCGGUAAUACAGAGGGUGCAAGCGUUAAUCGGAAUUACUGGGCGUAAAGCGCGCGUAGGUGGUCUGUUAAGUUGGAUGUGAAAUCCCCGGGCUCAACCUGGGAACUGCAUUCAAAACUGACUGACUAGAGUAUGGUAGAGGGUAGUGGAAUUUCCUGUGUAGCGGUGAAAUGCGUAGAUAUAGGAAGGAACACCAGUGGCGAAGGCGACCACCUGGACUAAUACUGACACUGAGGUGCGAAAGCGUGGGGAGCAAACA
Molecule: ribosomal RNA, 427 nt
Filed under: uncultured bacterium
Lineage: Bacteria
Description: partial 16S ribosomal RNA
Rfam family: Bacterial small subunit ribosomal RNA
Source: RNAcentral